AGUACUGCCUGUUUCUAGGCUUGUGGAGAACAGUGCAAAUAUUCCAGAGAACCCCAGAGGUCCCUAAGGGAUCCAGAAAGGAUUUUUAUUUGACAGCAAGGAGAAAUUCCCAGCUGAAGAUUUCUAAAUGCUGAUCUGUUUUAAUUAAGAAAUCUUCUAAGAUGUUAUUGGAAAUGAAACCAGAACUCGAAGCACCGGGACAUACCUCAACAGCAUUGUCAUGCCCGGGGCUUCAGUUUCUCUGCGUCACCCUCACGGUGGACUGUAAUAAGGUCGGCAACUUCGUCUUAUUCCUUCUCAGUACUCCCAGUACCUAGCACUGUGCCAGGAAUACGCUCAGCGAAUCCUGCUGUGCAAUCAUGAUGCUGCAAGUCACCCUGGACCUGUGACUUUUCUUAUUCCUCUGCUCCCUAUAUGCCAACAGCCUCUGUCCUCGGUCAGGACCCUCAUCAUCUCUCCUGGAAACUGCCAUAGUCUCCUUGCCUCCACACUUAUCUCAUCCAGCUCAUCUUCCACGCUGCCGGCAGAGCCAUCUCCCCAAGUUGCAGAUCUGACCAUGUUCCUCCCCCAUAUUCUCCAUCCCCUCUACCAGCAGUUCUCAGUAUGAGACCCCCAAGACACUUUCAGGAAGUCCACAAAGUCAGAACUAUUUUCAUCAUAAUAGUAAGACAUUAUUUACCCUUUUCACUGUGUUGACGUUUGCACUGAUGGGGCAAAAGCGAUGGUGGGUAAAACAGCAGGUGGCUUAGCACAGAUUAAGGCCACGGCACUAAAUGGUACUAUGUACUAGUAGUUGUAUUCUUAACACUAUGCACUCCCAGAAAGGAGAAAAGCCAGUUUAUUUAAUGUCCCUGAUGAAGCAAUAAAAAUAUUAAUUUUAUUAAUCUCA
Lagenorhynchus albirostris (white-beaked dolphin) is the source of this 889-nucleotide long non-coding RNA. RefSeq lists it as uncharacterized. NCBI's taxonomy places the organism in Eukaryota, Metazoa, Chordata, Mammalia, Artiodactyla, Delphinidae. The transcript is spliced from 3 exons. The record is from RefSeq and is a predicted model, not a curated record.